This 2313-nucleotide long non-coding RNA is filed under the name Oryza sativa Indica Group (long-grained rice). RNAcentral's name for it is "lncRNA OsLaMu_02g0018410". RNAcentral also lists the same sequence under 1 other name. The record is from RNAcentral. Lineage: Eukaryota; Viridiplantae; Streptophyta; Magnoliopsida; Poales; Poaceae.
GCCACCGCAGCCCAGGGCGGCGCCGUUGUCUCUGGGCCGGCGCGGCCGCCGCGCUCGCCUCCUCGCUCGCCCACCGAGCGCUUCACCCAGGGGCGGGCCCGUGAGCAGCCCGGAGGCGGAGGCCGCGGCAUCGACGGUUUGAGCGCCGCCGCUGCAUUGGUGGACCGCAAAGGAAAGAGAAAGAUCGGAGAAGGAUCUUUUACAGUCUCUGAUGAUCGGGAACAGGCACGAAGGAAGGAGGAGAGGACAUCUGAUUCCCCCAAAGUGAAGCUUCUCAGGAGUAGCAUUCGUGCGUAUCAUGGCGACGCCGAGGAGAAGAAAAUUCCCAUGGGAGAAGCUGCAAAUCAUUAUUUCAGGAACAUUGAUAAUUCUUUCCAGCAACCGGAAGUUGGUUUGCGUUUAAAGUAUCUCAGCCAUCACUAUUCAGAAUUUAGGCCAGUACAUAGAGAUGAGGAAUGUUUCUAUAGGAGUUUCAUAUUUUCCUACCUGGCAUUUGAGAGGCUGAUAGAGAAAAUAAAGGGAUGGAAGCGCAUGCAGGAGCACCCAAUAUCAAUAAUCAGGGGGAAGAUUCUUGAGUUCUUCAGCAGUUAUGAUACAACAGAUGACAUUUUUGCUUUCCUCAGAUUAGUAGCAGCUACCUGGAUGUGCACGCGCAUAUGGAAUUAUGAAUGGUGUGCAACUAAUUGUGGAGAAAAUCAGAAUCUGGAAGAUUGGUGCUCGAAGCACGUAAUUGCUCCUCGUGUGUACGCAACCUCUGCUGCAGUAAAAGCUUGUGCAGAAGCUCUCAGGGUGACCGUCCAAGUGGAGAACGUUCAUGAUGGAACUUGCGAAAGUACGCACUACAUUGUCCGCGGCGCUCCUCGCGUGACCUUGCUGCGCAUAGAGUCUCACUAUGACAUCAUCUACCCACUCCCUCCUAGUUCUAUUAAUAGUUCAAAUCCACAUGAGGAGAAGUUACUCCCAAUCCCAAGUAGCAUUCUUGCGUAUGACAGGAGAAAGAUUUUCGAUAGAAAACAAAAGCAUCUGGACCGCUCCAAUCAAAAUACUAGAGCAAGCACCUCAAAAUCACCGCCUCAUGAGGAUCAAAAGCGUUCAGGUAGAAAAAGAAAGCGACCUGGCUGCUCCAAUCAAAAUCCUAGAGCAAGCAUGUCAAAAUCAUCGCUUCGCAAGGAUCAUAAGUCCUCAGCUCUUGCAACUUUAGUUGAUACUAGAAGAAGAACGAGGUUAACAGAUACUAUCAUUCCUCCUGGAUGCGGAAGGACAAGGAAAUAUGAAAUCACAAGAAUGAGCACUCGACUUGUGUUACGAAGAAGUGUUAGGUCCCUUUACAAGUUGCACAGUCAGUCAAACUCACUCGCUGGUCGAUUCUCAUUGAGAAAUUUUCUGAUAAGUGACGAGAUGACCAUUGAAAUGGAUGAGUUUCAAGCUGAUGAUUUAGACCCCUAUACAAAGGCCAAUGCAGAGGUUGACUUUUAUCAAUAUGUGAAGACUAUUGAAGAACUCUUUGAAUCUUUACCAGUUCCUGAAGAUAUUCACAGAUGGCUAAGUAUGAUUAUGAGAGAUCCAACUGCUUAUCAGUAUCUGAUAUGCUAUCACUACUGUUUGAUGGAAGAGCACCAAAUGAUGCAUGUCUUUACAUCAUUGUACAAUAAACUUCUAGUAUUGCCAACAACAGACCCAGCAGGAUACAAUUUUGUGCUUGAACGUCUCAAGAUAUUCUCUGGUUGGAGCCCGAUGGAUCUUCACAACGUUUAUUUCAUUGAGACCUUUUACUGGAAAGAUCCCAUCACGGGCGUACCAAUCAUCUACGGAGAUGAUGUUCUCUCCUUGCUGAGAUUGGUAAGAAAUACUUAUCAGCAUUUCAUGUCGAAGGUGGUAGAGGGCAGGAAACUACUCUUCUCUGAAAAAGAUUUCGGGAAUAUGGUCAACGAACAAUUUUCUGGGCUUCUUGAUGAACUUUUUGAAGCGAUGUUCAUUGCCACGUAUUAUGCUGACUUACAACUUGAGCAUACAAUGGUGUAAAUUGAUAAGGAGAAGAAGUGACCUGCUGCUGAUUUCUGACGGGCGUGAGCUAAACCAGUUAAGAGUACGCAUGGUGUAAAUGAUGAGAGAAGUGGACAGUAGCUGAUUGUUAACAGCCAAUGAGCUAAACAGAGCUGUGUUUUAGUUGAACCUGUGCAGUAACGAGAUCCUUAUUGUUUUUUUGUUAAAUGUGACAUGCUGUGCAUGUGGAAUUGUUCAGUAUGUGAGUUCAUCUAUAGUAUGAAAGUGUUCUUUGAUCUAACAUUAUCUGUGAGUUCUAAAAUCACUUCC